This 425-nucleotide ribosomal RNA is filed under the name uncultured bacterium. Its description in RNAcentral is "partial 16S ribosomal RNA". It matches the Rfam family "Bacterial small subunit ribosomal RNA", at positions 354 to 796 of the family's 1533-position model. The record is from RNAcentral.
GUGGGGAAUAUUGGACAAUGGGCGCAAGCCUGAUCCAGCCAUGCCGCGUGAGUGAUGAAGGCCUUAGGGUUGUAAAGCUCUUUCGUCAGGGAAGAUAAUGACGGUACCUGAAGAAGAAGCCCCGGCUAACUUCGUGCCAGCAGCCGCGGUAAUACGAAGGGGGCUAGCGUUGCUCGGAAUCACUGGGCGUAAAGCGCACGUAGGCGGCUUUCUAAGUCAGGGGUGAAAUCCUGGAGCUCAACUCCAGAACUGCCUUUGAUACUGGAGAGCUUGAGUUCGGGAGAGGUGAGUGGAACUGCGAGUGUAGAGGUGAAAUUCGUAGAUAUUCGCAAGAACACCAGUGGCGAAGGCGGAUCACUGGCCCGAUACUGACGCUGAGGUGCGAAAGCGUGGGGAGCAAACAGGAUUAGAAACCCCAGUAGUCC